AGCAUGAUUUCCAACGAGUUUUUCUUUGAUUCAGACGACGAUGAAAUAGCAAGCGAAAGGAUGGACAGGAAUAGAAGUUAUGACCUGUUGGUGAUUGCCAGAAAUAGAAGGCUUUUGAGGGACGCUUCGAACCCUCUGGAACUUGAUGAAAAUAUGUGAAUAAAUAACAUGAACAUAUUCACCCUUAUCCUAAUAGUCGUUUUGCUAAAACGCCAAUGAAACGACAAGGCUCUGGAAACAAAAAUUGGAAUUUUAUUGAAACGAUUGAACGCUGCUCUUUUCGUAUUAUUUAAACACCAAAAUGUGGUCUCUGGAGCGUUCUCGUUUUAAAGGCGUUUAAAACGACUACCGGAAUAAGGGUGAUUGUUUUCAUUUGCUAAUUUAUUAUUCUUUGAAGAUUUUUGAAACACUUCAGGCUAUCAAAGCCAGCUUUUGUCCAAUUACUUGCUGACAUUGAUAACCACCUAGGGCCAGCAAAGGGAAUAACUUCGAUUCAAAGCAUUAUAAAAUUAGCUACCGCACUACGAUUCUGCGCCCAUGGUUCAUUCCAAUUUAGUGUUGGCAACGAAUAUUGCCUGGGACUUGCACAGUCGACCGUAUCCGUCGUGCUAAAAGAAGUGUUAAACUGCCUCGAAAGAAUAAUUUGCCCAGUGUGGAUUAAGUUUCAUUAUACCGAAGCUGAAAAAUCACGCUCUAAACUUAAUUUUUAUGAGCGCAGCCAUAUACUAGGAGUAAUAGGUUGUGUCGAUGGCACGCACAUUAAAAUUGCUUCUCCAAAAAAAAGAUCUCCAACAUGCGUACUAUAAUCGUAAAGGAUUUUACAGCAUAAAUGCAAUGAUAGUUUGUGACGAUACGAUGAAAAUCCGUUUCAUCAACGCAAAAUACCCUGGAUCAACUCAUGAUGCCAAUGCUUUUAACAUGUCAACCCUAAGGGUAAUUCUGGAAAGGGAAACUGGAAGAGGACAACCAAACUCUUUCCUUUUAGGUCGCAAUCGCAUUCCAAUUGGACCAACCGGGAGCAGAAGCAGAUUCUCAUCAGAUUGAUGGAAGAAAAUCCUGAGAUAGCCAAGGGAUUUUCAACAAACCGGGUUGACAUCGAUCACUUUUGGAGAGAUGCUGCGGAGAAGCUGAAUAGCUACGGACCUCCUUCUAAAGACGGUGCGACUUGGAAAAAGGUCUAUAAAUUAAAUUUUAACAAAAAAAGUUGUAUAGUAACAAAUGUUUGGUUUCAAGGUUUGGGCUGAUUUUAAAUCCAAAACAAAAAAGAAACUGGUGGAAAAUGAAGUAAAAAGGAAACAGUCGGGAUUCAAUGACAACAAUCUUGUAGCCCUAACCGAGUUCGAGGAAGCUAUUGUCAGGAUCACUUCACUUAAGCAGUCCGUUGAAGGCAUAAGUGCCAGGGUAUUUGGCAUAAUCCAAGUAGAGGAGUCUGAAACGGUGGCGGCUUCUACAUCAAAAAAAGUGUCUAUGGCUUCUUGCCUUGAAGAAAAUUUGAAACCAGGCGCAAUAAUUGAAGACCAAGAGAAGCUGUCUGUACCUUCUAGCAAUAGAGCAAACAAAUACACUCCAGUUAAAAUUCUUCAAAAGCAAAAUGAAGUACAGGAAGUUUUUUUUGCAGAACUGUCCUCCAAACUGGAUGAUAUUAAGGACGAACUUCACCGAAUGAAUAGAUAUGUAUAUACAAAAGGCUGAUGACACAGAAAAAAAAAUGUAUGAAGAGAACCGUCGGCACAAUCUCGCCGUGGAAAAAUUAAUGCGCGAGAAGUUAGAAUUAAAGAAAAAAGUCCUGGAAGUGCAACUUGACCAGGUCAUGGCUAAACUGGGCUCUACAUAAGUUUGGGACCCGUCCCACAAGAUCUUUGAAUGUGAGAUUUUAAUCUGCUUACCUACAUAUAUAAAAGAAUAAAAAAGUUUCCAGUUGUUUUUUGAAUUAAGUUUAUUUUUUGUGAAUGGUUUUAGUUUUGAAUUAAGUUUUUUUUUGUUGUGAAUGGUUUUAGUUUUGAAUUAAGUUUUUUUUUGUUGCGAAUGGUUUUAGUUUUUAAUUAAUUUAUUUUUGAAUCAAAAAAAUGAAAUAAAUAAGACUGAUAUAGUGAUAUCGCAAUAUGUAAAAUGUGUACUCCUUUAAUUAAAAUAAACCAGCGAUUCUGUCACGAGCGUUUCUAGC
Eupeodes corollae is the source of this 2164-nucleotide long non-coding RNA. RefSeq lists it as uncharacterized. Lineage: Eukaryota; Metazoa; Arthropoda; Insecta; Diptera; Syrphidae. The transcript has 3 exons. The record is from RefSeq and is a predicted model, not a curated record.